Salvelinus sp. IW2-2015 is the source of this 3609-nucleotide non-coding RNA. The record is from RefSeq and is a predicted model, not a curated record. NCBI's taxonomy places the organism in Eukaryota, Metazoa, Chordata, Actinopteri, Salmoniformes, Salmonidae.
GGUAACAGGUCUGUAUGGCUCAAACAAUAAUGCAGGUUGUUUGUAUUCUGACAGUAGGCCAGCCACGCAGCCAGCCCUCAUGUCCACUAGAAGAUCGCAUACAUUUGGAGAGACCAUGCCUUCAACAAGAUCUGGAGAACGCACCCCAUUGAGGUGUGUCCAGAAUGAAAUGCGCCAUCUCUCAACCCCAUCUUCUAGACUCAAAUCGAGAUCAGGGUCGGGCAGCAAUAUCCUCAAAACACCCAAGAAUGAUGCUGUGUUCAUCUACACAGACCCGUUAACACAUUGCCCUCCACCAUCUGAGGUCCUAUGCUCUCCUAGUGUUCCAAAGCCCAGUGAUAAAACUACUACCAGUGAUACAGCUCCUACCGCUGAGGACACAGCUGUUUAUACAAGCAGUGGACUUGGAGACAUUACCUUCAAGUCYUUCAUCUGUGCUGGGGGUGAGGUUGAGGUUUCAGAGCCUUCAAGGGUUGUAGACGAAACCAUCCGGCUACCCAAGAAUCAACUGAACAUCUCUUCUCUUCCUGGCUAUGAUGUUGAAAACACAUGUCUCUCUGACAGUAUGGUUACUCAAUGCUGCGACAACCAUGUGGAUCACRUCUAUUGUGAUUUGGAAAGCGAUUUGGCCACAACUGAAGCUGACCUGUCCUUUAAUGGRGGUUCAAACGCCAGUCUUAGYGUUCCACAGUUCACCGAUAUAGCCCACAUCACUGAGACUGUUACUGGCGGACAGGGMGAUGUAACGUUUAAAUCUUUCAUCUGCACCGGAGGGGAGGUGGAAGUUCCAGAGGCUUCCAGGGUGGCACUUGAGACUAUACUCCUACCAACGGAUCAGCCUGCAAACCACCAUCAGCCAUACAACGGCAGUGUAUAUCAAAGUGUUAUAGUAGAUGACUUGGACAUGCAGUCCAUCGAUGACCACGCAGAUCAUCUCUAUUGUAAUAUGGCCUCCUCUAGUGCACACCUUUCCUUCAAAGAACCUACACAUUGUGGUCUUCAAAAUAGUACUUUGAAAUCCAUAGAGAUGGUCMAUACCARUGAAGAGUCAACUGAUGUUCAAAAUGCCACUGGCGGUCAAGGACAUGUGACAUUCAAAUCCAUCUGCACUGGGCUUGAGGUUGAAGUCUCAGAGUCCACCAGAGUGUCYGAAGACACUAUCCUCCUACCUGAGAAUCAGACUGUGACCAGUCAUCUACCGUACAACGACAGGGUCAACCCAAGUAUCAUAGAGGAGCAGUCCUCCGAUCAUGCAAAACACCCUUACAGCCAUAUGGAAAGUGAAGGUGCCGUGUGGAAAGCGGACACCGCUGCCAUCAGUGAGCCCUCAAUGGGAAAUGCAUCCUUAAGGUCAUCAUUGAAGGACCUGGAUGAUGUCGCCUGUCAGCUUUUCCCUGAAGGCCCCAAACAGGGUUCUUCUCCUCAUGAUGAAGACAGCGCCGUGGUUCCAUCUAUGCAGUUGGAAACUGACCGCUCCCAUUGCAAUGAGUUUGGAGCCUCGGCCAGGAGCUCCACACCUGUAGAUGAGGACAACCCAUCGAUAGUCUCUCACUCCCAUUCUCAUGGUWCAAUGCAGGAGUCCAGUGGGGCCAGAGACAGCGCGCUGGGUUCAAGCAGUAAYGCUCCUCUUCUCUCCAACACUACAGACGAAGCGAGCUCUGAGAACAUUGCUGACGUGUUGACYGAGCAACCCAAGAUCCCCUCUGUAGCGAGGUGGGCCGGCGGUGGUGAUGCUUUACAGUUUGAGAUCUUCAGCCCCGUUCUUAGCACUACCCCCAUGACCAGAAGAGGGGGCAUUCAGAAAUCGUCUUUCGCCCAAAUGGAGGAUUCCACUCUAGAAAACGGCAGGGGCUGUGUCCUCAACUCUGCUGAGGGUAGCUUCGUUGUCCCGGCCAACCCAGACAGCCGACUCUGGGCUGCCGUCCUGGAGAGCCCCAUGCCUCUGCCCAAGUUCAACUCGACGGCAGUGGGUGMCGCAUCGACCCGCAAGCCCCCUCCUUCUCUAGACCCAGUCACAGAGACUGUGGAGACGAGGGUAGAAGUGGAUGUACCUCAUGUAAAAUCCCAACCCAAGGUGGAGAAAGUAGAGAUGGGUCUUUUUGAUCAUUUACCAAGGUUGGUUUGUGAGGAGCCCUUUCAGCAGCAACUCAUCCAGAUGGCCCAAUUCCUCAUCCUGGCAUGGUGCAAGAUGGUCCCUGUUAGCAACCCUGCCCUAGCUCCUACACCUGCUCCCGCCCCUCCUGUAGUGGAAACUACAGCGGGGACCACGGCUGUAGAGUGCCACAGCAUGUGUGUUGGCACCACUCCAGUGAGGCAGGCAGACCGCAGUGCCAACACCUCAGGUCAGUUUGAGAGGAAGAGGGAGUUCUCUGUGUCUGACGCCUGCACCAGCACCGAGACUCUGCUCUGGAAUCUGGCCCCUGGGAGCCUGUGCGGGGUCCCCAGACAGGAGCUGGAGCAGAGGCUGACCUCCACUCUCAUCAUGGUGGAGGCCCUGGUGCAGCAGCUGUGCACAGCCAGGGGACAGGGCCACUCURGGGGCCCCGGGCCCUCAGAACUCAGGGACAAGCUGGUCCAGACCGACCACACUGAACUCAGCCAGACGGUAACCUACAAAGACCUGUAUGUGACGGCCCUGGAGAGGAUCAAGGAGCUAGAACUGGACCAGACCACUCUACACAACCUGCUUCACAGCAUGCAGGACACCAGGAGCACCAUGACAGCCCUGAGUGGAGACACUGAGGUGGCUCUCAGCAGCAUGAGGCAGAUAAGAGACCUGKUUAAAGAGGACCAGCAGAGCCUGGUUACACAGUAUGGUCAGAUGAAGUCCCUUUAUGAGAAGUGCAAGGAGACCCAGGGCAGGAUGGUGCAGAAGGUCCGAGACACCCUGCAGCAGAGAGAGGACAUGAGGAGACGGAUGGAGGAGGCUUACACCGCCAAGGACGCAGCCUUCAGUGUGACCGAGCAGCUGAGGGCUCGUGCCGUGCGUAUCUCUGAGCUGGAGGAGUGUGUGGGAUCUCACCAGGAGCUGAUGGCUGCCCUGAACAAGACCUACUCAGAACAGGUUGCAUUGAACAAGGCCUACGUGGAAUCCCUCAACUCUGCAUCUGAGCUCCUGACAGGAACCAUGAGCGAUCACGACAGUCUGCAUCAAGAGCUGAAAACAGCAAGGCGUCUCCUCCAGAGGACAACUCCUAUACUGGUGAAGCUGAUGAGAAGGCAGCCAACGCUUAGGAGAGAGAGACCAGCACCUCUCGGAGAGAGACCAAACUGUGGAGGAGAGAGAGCAGAUCCAAGAGGAACUGGACCAAACCAACGUGAGUCUCCAAGAUGCCAGACAGGAGAUUGGGGACUUGAAUCUGCAGGCCACAAUCAUGAAUUCGGAGUUGGGUGUUCUGCGUCAGAAGCUGAGUGAGGGAGAAGAGGAGGCAGUUCAGCUGGAGAGGAAGGUCACGGAGCUGUCUGCCACCGUCUCUUCUACCCUGGCCUCCUAUGCCUUCUAGAGCAGGCCUUGGCUGCAGAGUCCACCAAGUUGCAACAGUCAUGGCAAGAAGUCCAGCAAGCUACCGACCGGGCCAACCAGUAAGUAAACUCCUCAGCACCUCAUUU